GACGAACGCUGGCGGCGUGCCUAAUACAUGCCAGUUGAGCGCUGAAGGUUGGUACUUGUACCGACUGGAUGAGCAGCGAACGGGUGAGUAACGCGUGGGGAAUCUGCCUUUGAGCGGGGGACAAUAUUUGGAAACGAAUGCUAAUACCGCAUAAAAACUUUAAACACAAGUUUUAAGUUUGAAAGAUGCAAUCGCAUCACUCAAAGAUGAUCCCGCGUUGUAUUAGCUAGUUGGUGAGGUAAAGGCUCACCAAGGCGAUGAUACAUAGCCGACCUGAGAGGGUGAUCGGCCACAUUGGGACUGAGACACGGCCCAAACUCCUACGGGAGGCAGCAGUAGGGAAUCUUCGGCAAUGGACGAAAGUCUGACCGAGCAACGCCGCGUGAGUGAAGAAGGUUUUCGGAUCGUAAAACUCUGUUGGUAGAGAAGAACGUUGGUGAGAGUGGAAAGCUCAUCAAGUGACGGUAACUACCCAGAAAGGGACGGCUAACUACGUG
This 497-nucleotide ribosomal RNA is filed under the name uncultured bacterium. Its description in RNAcentral is "partial 16S ribosomal RNA". It matches the Rfam family "Bacterial small subunit ribosomal RNA", at positions 28 to 507 of the family's 1533-position model. The record is from RNAcentral.